Molecule: ribosomal RNA, 402 nt
Filed under: uncultured bacterium
Lineage: Bacteria
Description: bacterial SSU rRNA
Rfam family: Bacterial small subunit ribosomal RNA
Source: RNAcentral
UCGGGAAUUUUGGGCAAUGGGCGAAAGCCUGACUCAGCAACGCCGCGUGAGGGAUGAAGUAUUUCGGUAUGUAAACCUCGAAAGAAUGGGAAGAAUAAAUGACGGUACCAUUUAUAAGCUCCGGCUAACUACGUGCCAGCAGCCGCGGUAAUACGUAGGGAGCAAGCGUUGUUCGGAUUUACUGGGCGUAAAGGGCGCGUAGGCGGCGCGGUAAGUCACUUGUGAAAUCUCUGAGCUUAACUCAGAACGGCCAAGUGAUACUGCUGUGCUAGAGUGCGGAAGAGGCAACCGGAAUUCUUGGUGUAGCGGUGAAAUGCGUAGAUAUCAAGAGGAACACCUGAGGCGAAGGCGGGUUGCUGGGCCGACACUGACGCUGAUGCGCGAAAGCCAGGGGAGCAAACG